UUUGUUCGGCUAUUUAAGCCAAAAAAUUUCCAAACAAUUCAUUUCUUUCCUUCCUCCAGAAAAAACAACAAAAACCCUCUGAAGCCCUCUCUCUCCCUCCAGGCACUGGCCCAAAAUCCGGCCAUCGACCGUCGACCGGCGGCUACCGGAAAGCUGAAAAGCUUUCCUUUUUUCUGCUGAAUCUCCCUCCAACUACUCUGAGUAUCCCGGCAUCGUCAAAUAGGUAAAAAAAACUCUCCUUUUUAUUACUCGUUUAUAUACGUACGAAAAAAAAUCAAAAAGAUAAAAGAAAAUAGAUCUAUAUUCAAAAAGAAACGAAGAAAUCACGUUGAGUCUACUUCUUUUUUUGCCUUAUUAUUUCUAAAAAUGUUCGUAAAAAAGGGGUGGAAAUUACAGAAAGGUUCGAUUUUUAUUACCGAUUCCCCUUUUUCUUUCUGUUGUUGUCUCUUUUAUUGUUUUGCAGGCACUCGAUGGUGCAUGUGGGCAAGUGGCGGUGGUGGGUCGGUGGCAGAGGUGAUGCAACAAGGGCGGUGGCAGUAGUCAAAAGAUCUAGGUGCGGCACACCUAGGGUUUUUUUUGCUGAUUGGUCUUUGGGUUAGUUUAGGUCGUUGGGCCAGGGUGUUUGGGCUUGUAAUUGGGUCUUUUGGGUUUUGGGUAGGUUUUAGGUGGGUUUUGUUUGUAAUGGGCCCAGGCAUAAAAUUGAGCUUGUACAAUAAAGUAAUGAUUUUAAUGUUAUAACAUGCUUUAAAUUCUUGUACUUUUGUAUAUUUGGAAUAUAGUCUUCAUAUUUUUAUUUUUAAGAAUUUAGCCCAUUCACUAUUCAAUUUUAAAAAUUCAGGC
Molecule: long non-coding RNA, 840 nt
Filed under: Gossypium raimondii (Peruvian cotton)
Lineage: Eukaryota; Viridiplantae; Streptophyta; Magnoliopsida; Malvales; Malvaceae
Description: long non-coding RNA (GRAI_LNC000192)
Source: RNAcentral